GCCAGUAACCAGCAGGUAGCCUAGUGGUUAGAGCGUUGGGCCAGUAACCAGCAGGUAGCCUAGUGGUUAGAGCGUUGGGCCAGUAACCAGCAGGUAGCCUAGUGGUUAGAGCGUUGGGCCAGUAACCAGCAGGCAGCCUAGUGGUUAGAGCGUUGGGCCAGUAACCAGCAGGGUAGCCUAGUGGUUAGAUCGUUGGGACAGUAACUGAAAGGCUGCUGGAUUGAAUCCUAGAGCCGACAAGGUAAAAAUCCGUCAUUCUGCCCAUCAGCAAGGCAGUUAACCAACAACAACAACUGCUCUCGCGUGACGUGGACGUGAAUUAAGGCCCCACACCUCUCUGAUUCAGAGGAAGACACAUUUCAAUCAAAUGCAUUCAGUUGUACAACGAGCUAGGCAUCCCCCAGGGUGGCUGUCAUACUGUUGAUGACCACUAGGUGGUACCAAUACCCUGUAUCUCUCUGAGGCUGUAAUACUGUUGAUGACCACUAGGUGGUGCCAACACCCUGUAUCUCUCUGAGGCUGUAAUACUGUUGAUGACCACUAGGUGGUGCCAAUACCCUGUAUCUCUCUGAGGCUGUCAUACUGUUGAUGACCACUAGGUGGUGCCAAUACCCUGUAUCUCGCUGAGGCUGUAAUACUGUUGAUGACCACUAGGUGGUACCAAUACCCUGUAUCUCUCUGAGGCUGUAAUACUGUUGAUGACCACUAGGUUGUACCAAUACAUAUCAAACAUAUUUUAUCCCUUCAUGGAGACAUUGGCCGUGUCCGAAUACCUGUAUGGGGGUCCUUGAUACACACGGGAAACUGUUGAGCGUAAAAAACCCAUCAGUGAGACAGUUCAUGUCUUGAUCAGAGGAAGGUGGUCUAACCGCUGAACUGGUAUCUAACCUCUGAACUGGUAUCUAUCCGCUGAACUGGUAUCUAUCCGCUGAACUGGUAUCUACUGGUAUCUAACCGCUGAACUGGUAUCUAACCGCUGAACUGGUAUCUAUCCGCUGAACUGGUAUCUAUCCG
RNAcentral lists this long non-coding RNA (1014 nucleotides) under Salmo salar (Atlantic salmon). Its description in RNAcentral is "lncRNA (ENSSSAG00000110842.1)". The record is from RNAcentral. Lineage: Eukaryota; Metazoa; Chordata; Actinopteri; Salmoniformes; Salmonidae.